CGUCGCGCAGGGGCUGGUGCGCCAGCUGCUGGCGCCGGUCGUCGGGAGCGGCGACAAGCGCGCGCGUUCGUAACGUGCGCGCGGCGCCC
This 89-nucleotide transfer RNA is filed under the name Burkholderia stagnalis. Its description in RNAcentral is "tRNA-Ala". The record is from RNAcentral. Lineage: Bacteria; Pseudomonadati; Pseudomonadota; Betaproteobacteria; Burkholderiales; Burkholderiaceae.